GUAGGGAAUAUUGGGCAAUGGUCGGAAGACUGACCCAGCCAUGCCGCGUGCAGGAAGACGGCCCUCUGGGUUGUAAACUGCUUUUAUCUGGGAAGAAAAAGGCCAUGCGUGGCAAAUUGCCGGUACCAGAUGAAUAAGCACCGGCUAACUCCGUGCCAGCAGCCGCGGUAAUACGGAGGGUGCAAGCGUUGUCCGGAUUUAUUGGGUUUAAAGGGUGCGUAGGCGGCUGAUUAAGUCAGCGGUGAAAGACUCCGGCUUAACCGGAGCAGUGCCGUUGAUACUGGUUAGCUUGAGUGUUGGAGGGGUACAUGGAAUUGAUGGUGUAGCGGUGAAAUGCAUAGAUACCAUCAGGAACACCGAUAGCGAAGGCAUUGUACUGGCCAACAACUGACGCUGAUGCACGAAAGUGUGGGGAUCGAACAGGAUUAGAAACCCCAGUAGUCC
This 444-nucleotide ribosomal RNA is filed under the name uncultured bacterium. RNAcentral's name for it is "partial 16S ribosomal RNA". It matches the Rfam family "Bacterial small subunit ribosomal RNA", at positions 354 to 796 of the family's 1533-position model. The record is from RNAcentral.